ACGCGAGGAACCUUACCAGGUCUUGACAUCUGAAUGACCGGUACAGAGAUGUACCUUUCCUUCGGGACAUUCAAGACAGGUGGUGCAUGGUUGUCGUCAGCUCGUGUCGUGAGAUGUUGGGUUAAGUCCCGCAACGAGCGCAACCCUUGAUCUUAGUUGCCAGCAUUUAGUUGGGCACUCUAAGGUGACUGCCGGUGACAAACCGGAGGAAGGUGGGGAUGACGUCAAAUCAUCAUGCCCCUUAUGACCUGGGCUACACACGUGCUACAAUGGAUGGUACAAAGGGCAGCAAAGCGGUGACGCCUAGCAAAUCCCAUAAAACCAUUCUCAGUUCGGAUUGUAGGCUGCAACUCGCCUACAUGAAGCUGGAAUCGCUAGUAAUCGCGGAUCAGCAUGCCGCGGUGAAUACGUUCCCGGGCCUUGCACUCACCGCCCGU
Molecule: ribosomal RNA, 437 nt
Filed under: uncultured bacterium
Lineage: Bacteria
Description: bacterial SSU rRNA
Rfam family: Bacterial small subunit ribosomal RNA
Source: RNAcentral